This 253-nucleotide ribosomal RNA is filed under the name uncultured bacterium. RNAcentral's name for it is "partial 16S ribosomal RNA". It matches the Rfam family "Bacterial small subunit ribosomal RNA", at positions 524 to 776 of the family's 1533-position model. The record is from RNAcentral.
UACGUAGGUGGCAAGCGUUGUCCGGAUUUACUGGGCGUAAAGAGCGCGCAGGCGGUCGGAUUAGUCGCGUGUGAAAGCCCACGGCUCAACCGUGGAGGGUCAUUGGAAACUGGGAGACUUGAGUGCAGAAGAGAAGAGUGGAAUUCCACGUGUAGCGGUGAAAUGCGUAGAGAUGUGGAGGAACACCAGUGGCGAAGGCGACUCUUUGGUCUGUAACUGACGCUGAGGCGCGAAAGCGUGGGGAGCAAACAGG